UUUUUUGGUGAUCGAGAGAACCGUCUUCUUACCGCCAUACAUAUCAACGUGGUCCUAAAUUCCAGUAAGACCUUUGAUUAUAAGCCACUCAAAUGAUUUUGUUCGUGCAAGUGAAACAUCGGCAUCCUGUAACCUAUAUCAAACAACACAUACUAAUGAUAUAAUUAGAGAGAACCCAAGGAUGCGCCAAAACCAACCUAUUAAUCUUCUCCUCCAUAACAAACCAAAGAAAAAUGAACGAUCAUAAUUUAUAUUAUAUAACGUCAACCCUCUCAACAUUAACAGAUGCAGCAAUCUAAGGCGAUUAUCUUUAACAUUUACAAAAUAGAAUCUUAAACAUCCAAGACUUUUCAACUCUCUCGGAAAAUAGAUAAUAUACAAAAUCCCGUCUACACUCCAAUCACAAUGCUUCCCAUGAAAACUUCAUAAACUGCAACACCAGCGUGGGCUUCAACGUUUGAUAACAACUGCAUCACAAUCACAACAUGACGAAUCAAAAUGAGGUUCCUCUAAGAACCGAAUAUUGAGAUAACAUCAUUUUUGCAAUUGUAGAGGCAAGUCAAAGCAACCACAUCAACGGUCCCAUACCUGAUCUAAGCAACUCUAUGGUAAACAGAAAAGGUACAUCAGUGAUUUCAUUGAACACUAACUUUAACCUAAGACCAAGGACGAGGAACAACAAUCCAGCAAUAUACCACAAUCAUCCUCUUCACCUGCAGUUUGUUCAUAUACUACCUGACUAAACUAAUAACACUACACAAAAAGACCUCAAAGUUGAAACCUCACAUGAACAGCUGACAACAGGCAAUCAGUAGCAUCCUUUGGUAUCAUUGUACACUGUAUAACCACAUGGGACCCUUCAGCAUCAAAGAAGUUCAUACUUAACAAUCUUAUAAGGCCAUGACCCCACGAGAGUUUGGUCAAAUCUCCGGGUAAGUGUUAGGCAAGGCAAAUAACAACCGCAAACGUGAAGAAAGUAACAGGGAUAUAAACCUGAAACGGAAUACACUUCAGUAACCUUUUAACUUCACCCCACGAGAGUUUGGUCAAAUCUCUGGGUAAGUGUUACCUUGCAUCAAGUAAUACAUGAACCGAUGAAAGGGAAGGCAACUAAGCACCUCAAAAAUGAAGUAACAAGAAUAUAAACUAAAACGGGAUAGACACUUCAAUAACCUUUUAACUUCCCCCUACGUAGAAGAUUGUAAGCCUCUCAGAGUUGUCUUCCUACACAAAAUGUUUAAAUGUUGUGCAUUUCAACCAAUGAGACACAAAGCUUAUAUAAUCAAGUAUUUAUCGUCCCAGUAAAUCUGUAAGCAAAACUCACUUGUCUAGUCUCUUCCUGCAAACAUAACACUCGCUUGUCCCUUCUUUAAAAUUCUGCCUCGUACAGGAAAACACAUCUUUCUUUUUGGAAUAAAAAUCACCUUCAGUGAACUCAAAAAGACUUUCCCAUGAAAACUUCACAAACUGCAACCCUAACAUAGGCUUCAAUGUGUGACGGAGCAUAUUAAGGUUCACGAGAUGAUUAGUUGAGGAAACAUCACUUCCCCAAUCGUAAGAUCUCAACAAAAGUAACUAGAAUGGAGAUUUUUCGUGUUAGCCAGAGAGUUUUUCCCUGCAAGCCAAUAUGUCCAAGGACUACGAUUUGGAGGUAACAAUCCUACAACAUAUUUAAUCAAUCUCCACCAGAAGUAAGCAUAUUAAGCCUCACCUGAAAGCAAACAACACAUGUGUCCCCCACAAAAAUCAAUUGAGGACUUCAUUAUCAAAUGUUUCAGAACCAUUAAAACCAGCCAGGAAGAAAGAAACCUCAGAAGUCAGAAAUAAAGACGAAUAUCAUCAAAACCAAUGUGCCUGCUAUGAGCCAGCCCCCAUGAGGUCACACAACCAGCAAGAAUCACUUAAAUAAAUACCUAACUGAAGAGAAUAUGAGCAUACACCAUGACCAUUACUAACAAUCAGUGUGGACCUACAAAAUAACUCGAUGUGGCAGACUAGCAGUUUUAUGACCACCAAAAUACGAUGUAUAAAUGUUGAGGUAUAUGAUGAAACCUAUAAUCUUCAAAAGCUUCAGACAUUAACCAGAUAUUGCUGAAAAACUGAGAAUCAUCAUCAAAAGGCCAGAAGACUAAAUCUUAAAAUCAAUAGAACAAGUAUAAACUCUGAGCGUCCACACCUUCAGAUAUGUCAGCCUACAGAGUUUUUCAACCAUCCUGUCCAGGUAAAUCCCAGAGCAUGAAACAGAAGAGUCACCAAAACAAAAAGUUUUUAUGCAUAACUGACGAGCGAACUCAAAGAACCUUCAAUGUUACCUUCUCUUGCUGGAGAACAGACCAACCCAUAAGUAAAAUAUACUGGAUCCUCAAAAUCUGUAGCACAGUUCCGCUCAGAGAGAAGCAGAAGACAACAAAAUUAAUAGCAUCAACUCUCAGGAAAUAAAUAGCCUCGUCAAAGCAGAAACAAAGAAGAAAAGAUGGAACCCUUCAAUUGGAGGUUGGAGCUUACUUUUCUUUAAUACCCAGUAAACUAUAACAGUCAGAAGUAAUUCAAAAAUCAACAAAGACGCAAUAAUCAAAAGCCAAAGAAACCUAAGAAUCAAACCUCAGAAGAAAAGUAGCUCAUAACACCUGACCUGGAUCUACCAGAUAUGGAAGAUCCAAAUUUGUCCCUACUGAGAGAUAACUAGGCAAAUUCAUGAUGUACAGUUACAGGGAGUGUAGUCGAGCAGACCAAAACCUUUGCAAAAUCAAACUCCAAUGCAAUGAUAAGUUUCAUCCAGUAGUAGCAAUUAGCAUCUAUAUAGAAAAGAUGCAGCAGACAGGAACUGAUCACAUCUCCACCAAAUAUAAUAGUAACCAAAACAAAAAAAAAGGCACACCACGGGUUAAGAAAAUACUGCAAAUUCAAACUUCGAUGCCCAAAAAAACCAAUAAGAGAUCCUGGCUCCUUCACAUCCUCAACAUACCAAAAAAUCAAAAGAAUCUCCCCCCUAUCACAGUCCAGAGCUCAGGAAGUGCAACAGACUUCAAAAUCCAGGAUGUACGAAACAACAGAUUGCAGAAAAUCCAAAAAAGAGGAACAAGAAAACCUGAGUAACAACAUGUCUAGCUUUCUGCAUAAGAGGCACUCAGACUUGAAGCUGUUCAAUACAAAAAAAUAAUUUAGUAGACACAUCUAUGAUGAAAAGGACAGGAAAAACAUUAGAGUUAGCAAUCAUCAGAUACAUAAAAGCAUUGAAUACAAAAACUAGGUAAAAGGACAAGACAUAGGAACAAACUCGUUUGGGAGGGAUCUAUGAUCAUCUUUAGUCUGAGUGUGUGAGGUGAAUUGUGAAGAAAUUCUGGGAAACAGAGACACAGGAAAAAUCAUACCUCACCAACAAUACAACAGCCAACUUUUAAGUAAAAAAUGAAUGGGUAAAAAGGUAUGUAGAUGCAAAGUAACCAGAGACACGAUAUAGGCAAACCAUCUUUCCCUCUCAUUAUGCUUGAACCUUUCUCCAAAAUUAGAAAAGAAAACAUCAAGUAAUAGGGAAAUAAGAAACCAAAAAAAUAAAACAAAAGGAGAUAAGAAACCGCCAGAGAGGUAACAUGAAGCACAAGAUCAAACACAUCUUUAAGCUCAAAAUAUAUACCUAUAAACAAAAGAAGAAUUUCACAUCAGAAAAAAAAACCACGCCACAAGAAUAUGAGAGUAUGAUAAGACUCUAAACAUAGAUGUAGCAUAAAAGAUAAGACCAACAGAAAGAAAGGGGAAAGAAACCAGUUAGUAGCCGGACGUUUCUCUCUUUUAGAACCUCACAACCUAUAACAAAAGAUCAUAAAACAUAGAUGCUAACAUCACUAGCAAGAUCAGCAGACAUUACUAUUAACCUGAAACAUCCAAUAACAAAGUAUAUGGAAACAAUCAUAUUGCUGAAAGAAUGCACAAGGAAAAGAAAACGAAAAACCUGAACACACAUGACCAGCCUUCUGCAUCAGAGAUCUCAGACUUAGCAGAUCUAAUAGACAUAAGACAUUCAAUACAAAAUAAACUUUAAAAAGAAAAGUAUAAGAACAAACUCCUCUCAUAUGAAUGUGUGGAGACACAGCAGAGACUCUUAGAGAAGUGACUGAUGUUGAAAAUCUGGAAAACACAGAGUAGAGCACCGAUCAAACCUAACCAACUAUAGCCAACAUUGAAUAAAUCAACCAAUAGCAAAAAGUGUAUAUAUGCGAAGUAACCAGAAACUCGUUUGGGAGGACUGUAUGAUCAUCUUUAGUCUGAUUGUGUAAACGGAAACAGAAUGAAGUGGUUUGUGAAGAAAAUCUGGGACACAGACACAGGAAAAAUCAUACCUCACCAGCAAUAUCAAUCUUAAAUUAAACAAUCUAUAGAUAAAAAGUUGUAUAGAUGUGAAGGAACCAGAAACCAAUAUAAUAUGCAACCCUUCCUUUUCUCCCGCAAUGCCUUGAACUUCUACAAUCUAAAUAGAAACUUCUCCAAAAAUUAAAAAAGAAAAACAUCAGGUAAUAUGGAAAUAAGAAACCCUAAAAAUAAGACAAUGGGAGAUAAGAAAACCGCCAGAGAGGUAGCAGGGAACCAUUAGAUAAAAAUCUUUCAAACUCGAUAUAUAUACCUACAAAGAAGGGGACCAUUUGACAUAAAAAACCCACCGUCAAAAGCAUAUGAAGAGAGUAUGAUCAAAUACUAAAAAUAGAUGUAACAUGAGAGAUAACAUACUACCAACAUAAAUAAAGGGGAAAAAAACAUAGUAACCUGACGCUUCUCUUUUUAGAACUCACUGCCUUAAAUAGAAGACAAAGACUUGUAAGCAUAAAAUAUAAGUGCUAACAUCGCUAAGAAGAUCUGUUAACCUGAAACAUCCAAUAACAACUCUGUGGAGACAACAGAUUGCUGAAAGAUACCCAAACGAAUAACAUUCAAUACAGAAACUACUUGCAAAGGAAAAAUAAAAAGAGUAAAUGAACAAACUCAUUAGGAAGGUAAUUCAAGGUCAUCUUUCAUAUGGAUAUGUGAAGACAGCAGAGAAACAGAGAGAAGAGACUGAUGUAGAAAUCUGGAAACACACAAUAAGACACACAGGACAGAUCAUAAUCAACCAACAACAAAAGCCUAAAAUAAUAUAAAACAACCAAUAACAAAAAGGUGAAUAGAUGUGAGUUAACCAGAAACACGAAAUCAUACUCAACCAAGCCUUCUCUCCCACAAUGCCUUCAACUUCUUAGAUCUAAACCAAAGAUUUCACCCAAAAAAAUUAGAAGGAAAACCACACGUAAUAUAGGACUCUAAAAAGGAAACAAAGGGGAAUAAGAAAACAGCCAAAGAUGUAACAUCAGGGAGCGACGACAGAUCAAAUAUAUCCUUCAAGAUAAACUGAGACGGAAUAGAACAGAGGUAAUCGUGAUUGUAACAAGGAAAGUAAAAAAUAUGUAACACGAGAAAUCAGAAGAAACCAACAGAUAGGGGAGAAGAAAUCUACAACACAGCAAUCCCAUUGCCUCCACGAUCUGCGUCAAACAGAGAGAUAUCGCUUAUGUAGAAAAAGCCAAAAAAAACAAAAAGUAUUGGGAAAGAGGAGAAAAAUCAAACAGAUAUAACGAUCAAUCAAACCAUCACCGGUCGAUCUUAGUAUCUUCCACAAUCACCAAUCAAUCAUAGUACCCUCCUAAAUCAAAAAUAGAACGAGGAGUAAAUAUAACAUAAAUUGAAAAAGGUAAAAAUUCAGAAGCUAGAUCGAGGAUCGGAUCAAAAAAUCGAUUUAAGACGUAGCCUAGAGAAACCAGGUGACAAAGAUCCAAAAAAACCAAUCACCGAUCAUAGCAUCAUCCAAGAUCUACAACAACAUGACGACAAGGAAACAAAAAGUGGUGAAAAUACAGAAUCGAAAGAGAUGAUCGGAUCAUAAUUGGCAUCCAAAACAUCUGCGAGACGAAGAGACGUAAGUAAGAAAACGAAAAUCAGAGGAAGAGCACCCCCUGAAGACGUAGCGCAGAGACGCAACAGAGAAACAACAAAUCCACCAAAGCCAUCACCAAGAGAUCAAAGCAUCGAUCCAUCACCAAGAGUAAACCACAUGAACANNN
RNAcentral lists this long non-coding RNA (6086 nucleotides) under Capsella grandiflora. RNAcentral describes it as "long non-coding RNA (CGRA_LNC000252)". Lineage: Eukaryota; Viridiplantae; Streptophyta; Magnoliopsida; Brassicales; Brassicaceae. The record is from RNAcentral.